GGGCUGGCUUUAGCUCAGCGGUUCCUUCGACAGUGUUCUAACAGCCUGUUUGCAGAGGCAGAGUAGUUCAAGACCCAAGGGCACUCUCCAUUAUUUA
Molecule: vault RNA, 97 nt
Filed under: Prolemur simus (greater bamboo lemur)
Lineage: Eukaryota; Metazoa; Chordata; Mammalia; Primates; Lemuridae
Description: Vault RNA (ENSPSMG00000010726.1)
Rfam family: Vault RNA
About the family: This family of RNAs are found as part of the enigmatic vault ribonucleoprotein complex.
Source: RNAcentral